CCCUUAGAUGCUCUGGGCCGCACGCGCGCUACACUGGUCGAUGCAACGAGUUUCUUUCCUUGGCCGACAGGCCUGGGCAAUCUUUGAACAUCGAUCGUGAUCGGGAUAGAUUCUUGUAAUUUUUGAUCUUAAACGAGGAAUUCCUAGUAAACGCAAGUCAUCAGCUUGCAUUGAUUACGUCCCUGCCCUUUGUACACACCGCCCGUCGCACCUACCGAUUGAAUGGUCCGGUGAAAUCUCCGGACUGGCGUGAGUCGGAGCAAUCUGACAAACACCGGAAAGUUGAUUAAACCUUACCAUUUAGAGGAAGGUGAAGUCGUAGCA
Molecule: ribosomal RNA, 324 nt
Filed under: uncultured eukaryote
Lineage: Eukaryota
Description: partial 18S ribosomal RNA
Rfam family: Eukaryotic small subunit ribosomal RNA
Source: RNAcentral